This 785-nucleotide ribosomal RNA is filed under the name uncultured bacterium. RNAcentral's name for it is "bacterial SSU rRNA". It matches the Rfam family "Bacterial small subunit ribosomal RNA", at positions 94 to 856 of the family's 1533-position model. The record is from RNAcentral.
AGUGGCGAACGGGGGAUUAACACGUGGGAAUUUUCCUAGGAGUGGGGGUAACCUUUCGAAACCGAUGCUAAUUCCGCAUAUUUUUUUAAACCCGCAUGGGUUUUUAAAACGAAAAGACGGCUUCGGCUGUCGCUCUUAGAUGAUCCCGCGGCGUAUUAGUUAGUUGGGUGGGGUAAAAGGCCUACCAAAGACCAUGAUACGUAGCCGGACCUGAGAGGGUGAUCGGCCACACUGGGACUGAGACACGGCCCAGACUCCUACGGGAGGCAGCAGUAGGGAAUCUUCCACAAUGGGUGAAAACCUGAUGGAGCAAUGCCGCGUGAAUGAAGAAGGUCUUCGGAUCGUAAAGUUCUGUUAUUAGAGAAGAACAAGUCAAGGAGUAACUGUCUUGACUUUGACGGUACCUAACCAGAAAGUCACGGCUAACUACGUGCCAGCAGCCGCGGUAAUACGUAGGUGACAAGCGUUGUCCGGAAUUAUUGGGCGUAAAGGGAGCGCAGGCGGUUGGAAUAGUCUGAUGUGAAAGCCCACGGCUUAACCGUGGAAGGUCAUUGGAAACUGUCCAACUUGAAUACAGAAGAGGUAAGUGGAAUUCCAAGUGUAGCGGUGAAAUGCGUAGAUAUUUGGAGGAACACCAGUGGCGAAGGCGACUUACUGGUCUGUAAUUGACGCUGAGGCUCGAAAGCGUGGGUAGCAAACAGGAUUAGAUACCCUGGUAGUCCACGCCGUAAACGAUGAGUGCUAAGUGUUAGGGGGGUUUCCGCCCCCUUAGUGCUGGAGUUAAC